Molecule: ribosomal RNA, 233 nt
Filed under: uncultured bacterium
Lineage: Bacteria
Description: partial 16S ribosomal RNA
Rfam family: Bacterial small subunit ribosomal RNA
Source: RNAcentral
UGAGCAAUCUGCCCUUCUCAUCGGAAUAAGCGUUGGAAACGACGUCUAAUGCCGAAUACGACCUCCUUUCGCAUGAUCGGAGGUGGAAAGCUCCGGCGGAGAAGGAUGAGCUCGCGGCCUAUCAGCUAGUUGGUGUGGGUAACGGCCCACCAAGGCGACGACGGGUAGCCGGCCUGAGAGGGUGACCGGCUACACUGGGACUGAGACACGGCCCAGACUCCUACGGGAGGNAG